This 627-nucleotide long non-coding RNA is filed under the name Capsella grandiflora. RNAcentral describes it as "long non-coding RNA (CGRA_LNC001395)". The record is from RNAcentral. Lineage: Eukaryota; Viridiplantae; Streptophyta; Magnoliopsida; Brassicales; Brassicaceae.
AACCUGAGCAACAAUAAUGAAUCCAGUUUAACUUGUUUAUUGCCGACCCUCCAGUAAACUAAGUUUUUGGGGAUUUUUCAUGAACUCUAAUUCACACAACACUAAAUCAGCAAACAUCCAAAUCAUGUCUGUACUAGUCUGAUUGGUUCUGACCACAAUCGACUUUCAAGAUCAAAAUUGUCUUUUGACUUCUUGUUGAUUUAUUCACAACCAAACUAAGCUUCUGUUUAUACAUGUUUCCAAAUCAUUCAACAAACAUAAGCAACCAAAGAACUUCACUUUGCACAUAACCAGAUUGAAUUUCUACUAUAAGAUGAGAUCUGAGAAAAGAAAAGGGAAGGCUUUUACCAAGAACAGGAGCGGAGACGGCGACGGUGGGCUUGAGAAGAAGAGCCGGACGAGCGGCGGAGACAGUGGAAGCGGAGGCAGUGAAGCUAGCCAUUUUCUCUAUUUCCUUCCCCUAACGACUGAGAGACUCUUCAAUUUUGAGUUGAUUUUGUUCUGUUUGCGUUCUAUAGCAACAAAUUGGCUUUUCGGAUCAAACAUGGCGACUAAAUAUGUGGUGGAUAACAAAUCUGACCGAACCAACACAAGCCAUCUAACUUGGAUAUGCUUCUAUCCACACUC